Molecule: ribosomal RNA, 400 nt
Filed under: Rhipicephalus turanicus
Lineage: Eukaryota; Metazoa; Arthropoda; Arachnida; Ixodida; Ixodidae
Description: partial 12S ribosomal RNA
Source: RNAcentral
AAACUAGGAUUAGAUACCCUAUUAUUUAGGAGCUUAACAUUGUAAGUAAAUAAAGAUUAUGAAAGCAAAAAAUUAUGGCGGUAUUUUAAGCUUUUCAGAGGAAUUUGCUCUUUAAUGGAUAAAACACCUAAAUCUUACUUAAAUUUGUUAAUUCAAUUUGUAUACCACUAUAAAAACAAUUUAUAACUUUAAUUGUUGAUAUUUAUUAAAUUAAAAUAUAUUAAGUCAAGGUGCAGUAAAAAUUUAAGGAUGAAGUGAAUUACAUUACUUUUUAGAGAAAUAAAUUUAAAAUAAUAUUUAGGAUUUGAAAGUAAAAUUAAAAUAUAAUGUUAAUUUGAAUUAAGCUCUAAAAUAUGUACAUAUCGCCCGUCACUCUUUAUUAAGAUAAGUCGUUACAUAG